Molecule: ribosomal RNA, 861 nt
Filed under: Fomitiporia punicata
Lineage: Eukaryota; Fungi; Basidiomycota; Agaricomycetes; Hymenochaetales; Hymenochaetaceae
Description: eukaryotic LSU rRNA
Rfam family: Eukaryotic large subunit ribosomal RNA
Source: RNAcentral
CCCCUAGUAACUGCGAGUGAAGCGGGAAGAGCUCAAAUUUAAAAUCUGGUAGUCUUCUGGCUGUCCGAGUUGUAAUCUGGAGAAGCGUUUUCUGUGUUAGACCGUGUACAAGUCUCCUGGAACGGAGCGUCAUAGAGGGUGAGAAUCCCGUCCAUGACACGGACUACUAAUACUUUGUGAUACGCUCUCGAAGAGUCGAGUUGUUUGGGAAUGCAGCUCAAAAUGGGUGGUAAAUUCCAUCUAAAGCUAAAUACAGGCGAGAGACCGAUAGCGAACAAGUACCGUGAGGGAAAGAUGAAAAGCACUUUGGAAAGAGAGUUAAACAGUACGUGAAAUUGUUGAAAGGGAAACGCUUGAAGUCAGUCGCGUUGUGCAGAACUCAGCCUUGCCUCGGCUUGGUGUACUUUCUGCACAACGGGUCAACAUCAAUUUUGGCCCAUGGAGAAAGGUGGGGGGAAUGUAGCGCUGUUUCGGCAGCGUGUUAUAGCCCUCUAUUGUAUACAUGGGCUGGGAUUGAGGAUCGCAGCACGCCCUUGUGGCCGGGGGUUCGCCCUACGUACCGUGCUUAGGAUGUUGGCAGAAUGGCUUUAAGCGACCCGUCUUGAAACACGGACCAAGGAGUCUAACAUGCUUGCGAGUGUUCGGGUGGAAAACCCUUGUGCGUAAUGAAAGUGAAAGUUGGGAACCUCCGCAAGGGGGUGCACCGACGCCCGGCCCUGACGUUCUCUGACGGUGCUGCGGUAGAGCAAGUAUGCUAGGACCCGAAAGAUGGUGAACUAUGCCUGAAUAGGGCGAAGCCAGAGGAAACUCUGGUGGAGGCUCGUAGCGAUUCUGACGUGCAAAUCGAUCGUCAAAUUUGGG